GACGAACGCUGGCGGCGUGCUUAACACAUGCAAGUCGAACGAAGAGCGAUGGAAGCUUGCUUCUAUCAAUCUUAGUGGCGAACGGGUGAGUAACGCGUAAUCAACCUGCCCUUCAGAGGGGGACAACAGUUGGAAACGACUGCUAAUACCGCAUACGAUCUAAUCUCGGCAUCGAGGAUAGAUGAAAGGUGGCCUCUACAUGUAAGCUAUCACUGAAGGAGGGGAUUGCGUCUGAUUAGCUAGUUGGAGGGGUAACGGCCCACCAAGGCGAUGAUCAGUAGCCGGUCUGAGAGGAUGAACGGCCACAUUGGGACUGAGACACGGCCCAGACUCCUACGGGAGGCAGCAGUGGGGAAUCUUCCGCAAUGGACGAAAGUCUGACGGAGCAACGCCGCGUGAGUGAUGGCGGCCUUCGGGUUGUAAAGCUCUGUUAAUCGGGACGAAAGGCCUUCUUGCAAAUAGUGAGAAGGAUUGACGGUACCGGAAUAGAAAGCCACGGCUAACUACGUG
This 510-nucleotide ribosomal RNA is filed under the name uncultured bacterium. RNAcentral's name for it is "partial 16S ribosomal RNA". It matches the Rfam family "Bacterial small subunit ribosomal RNA", at positions 28 to 507 of the family's 1533-position model. The record is from RNAcentral.